RNAcentral lists this long non-coding RNA (393 nucleotides) under Vigna radiata. RNAcentral's name for it is "long non-coding RNA (VRAD_LNC001844)". Lineage: Eukaryota; Viridiplantae; Streptophyta; Magnoliopsida; Fabales; Fabaceae. The record is from RNAcentral.
GGAGGAUGUUCAAUAAAUUAAGGACUUUUUUCCGCAAUUCGACCUUGAGGACAAGGUUGCUUUUGAUGGUGGGAGUAUUGUAACGUGCACAGGAAAUACUGAGGAGAGAGAUAAGGAUGGAAAAGUUGUUAGGCACAUAAGACAUGUGGCUAAUGAUCCAAAGAAUGAGGUCACGAAGAAAAGCAUGAGGCAAUGAAAGGGGAAUAUUUUAUUGAAGGACUUUGUGCAGUGAGAGGAAUGUGUGUGUGGUAUGAACAUUCCUGUACUAUGCUAUUCUCUUCUCUCUGUCUAACUUUGCUGAUACCUUUCUAUCUUCAUAUCAGGUUCUGCAAGCCAUGGAUGACGUGAAGAACUUUUGCUUAGAUACGUUGUUACUGAUUUCAUGAAAUACUG